Molecule: unclassified non-coding RNA, 200 nt
Filed under: Cosmospora sp.
Lineage: Eukaryota; Fungi; Ascomycota; Sordariomycetes; Hypocreales; Nectriaceae
Description: partial internal transcribed spacer 2
Source: RNAcentral
UUAAGUUCAGCGGGUAUUCCUACCUGAUCCGAGGUCAACCUUGAGAAGUGGGGUGUUUUACGGCACGACCACACCAGUUUCCAGGACGGGGUAUAGUACUACGCCAAGGUAACGCUGGUGGGAUCGCCACUAGAUUUUGGGAGCGAUCGGGUCUAGCCGAUCGACUCCCAACACCAAGCACGAGGCUUGAGGGGUUGAAA